AUGUACAUGCCUACAACAUAGCGUUAAUGCAGUGAAUCCCAUUAGAACUUUGCAGUUAAGCAUGCUCUGGCUAGAGUAGUACUGGGAUGGGUGACCACCUAAGAAGUCCUAGUGUUUUACAUG
Molecule: non-coding RNA, 123 nt
Organism: Picea glauca (white spruce)
Lineage: Eukaryota; Viridiplantae; Streptophyta; Pinopsida; Pinales; Pinaceae
Source: Rfam